AACGUAGGUCUCAAGCGUUGUUCGGAUUCAUUGGGCGUAAAGGGUGCGUAGGUGGCGCUGUAAGUCGGGUGUGAAAUUUCGGAGCUUAACUCCGAAACUGCAUUCGAUACUGCGGUGCUUGAGGACUGGAGAGGAGACUGGAAUUCAUGGUGUAGCAGUGAAAUGCGUAGAGAUCAUGAGGAAGACCAGUGGCGAAGGCGGGUCUCUGGACAGUUCCUGACACUGAGGCACGAAGGCCAGGGGAGCAAACGGG
This 253-nucleotide ribosomal RNA is filed under the name uncultured bacterium. RNAcentral describes it as "partial 16S ribosomal RNA". It matches the Rfam family "Bacterial small subunit ribosomal RNA", at positions 524 to 776 of the family's 1533-position model. The record is from RNAcentral.